RNAcentral lists this ribosomal RNA (274 nucleotides) under uncultured bacterium. RNAcentral's name for it is "partial 16S ribosomal RNA". It matches the Rfam family "Bacterial small subunit ribosomal RNA", at positions 523 to 796 of the family's 1533-position model. The record is from RNAcentral.
AUACGGAGGGUGCGAGCGUUAAUCGGAAUUACGGGGCGUAAAGCGUACGUAGGCGGUUGGUUAAGUUAGGUGUGAGAGCCCCGGGCUUAACCUGGGAACUGCAUUUAAAACUGGCGAACUAGAGUUGAGUAGAGGGGAGUGGAAUUUCAGGUGUAGCGGUGAAAUGCGUAGAGAUCUGAAGGAACACCAGUGGCGAAGGCGACUCCCUGGACUCGAACUGACGCUGAGGUACGAAAGCGUGGGUAGCAAACGGGAUUAGAAACCCGUGUAGUCC